GGGAGAGAGAGCCUGGCUGCCGCGGCGAACGUGUCGGCGACGACGCGUUCGUUUGCUGAUGGCAUCCCAUCGGAUUGCCCAACGCUCAUACAGUGGCCCAUCUCAUUGAGAUGCGCCACGUACGCGAGGAAAGUCCCCCCACCUGUUCGGGCAGGUGACCGGACGCAAGUCCGGAGUGGGAGACCACUGGCUCUGGAACAGAAACGACACGUCUUGGCCUGACCGAUGAUGCGUGCGAACCCAACCGAGAGGACGGGGAGUGAACCCGCAGAGGGACACGCAGUCGUUCAGACUGUCAAGCAAGUGUGGUCGAUAUCGUGGUUCAAACCCACGAGUCACGAACGCGGUUCGACACGUCUCCGAUGUGAGAACGUCGGGACAUGAGACGACGGAAGUCGUCGACCACAGUCGGCGUGACUGGCCACACUUCGACGGCCAAGGAUCGAUGGAACGGCGAAUCCUCACCGGUGCAAGUCCAUGCCGUGGUAGCCCGAACACCCCACGGCUCGCUGUGAGCCGUGGACGGCGUGGACGCUUAGCCAAAUGCCGGGAUGAACAGAAGGGGGCUUACUCCUCUCACCC
RNAcentral lists this RNase P RNA (582 nucleotides) under Natronolimnobius baerhuensis. RNAcentral describes it as "RNase P RNA component". The stretch from base 108 to 578 matches the Rfam family "Archaeal RNase P". Rfam says of the family: Ribonuclease P (RNase P) is a ubiquitous endoribonuclease, found in archaea, bacteria and eukarya as well as chloroplasts and mitochondria. Its best characterised activity is the generation of mature 5'-ends of tRNAs by cleaving the 5'-leader elements of precursor-tRNAs. The record is from RNAcentral. Lineage: Archaea; Methanobacteriati; Methanobacteriota; Halobacteria; Halobacteriales; Natrialbaceae.